Molecule: long non-coding RNA, 2244 nt
Organism: Oncorhynchus nerka (sockeye salmon)
Lineage: Eukaryota; Metazoa; Chordata; Actinopteri; Salmoniformes; Salmonidae
Exons: 4
Source: RefSeq, a predicted model, not a curated record
CAGAUUUUCCAAAGACAUUCACGAUGCCACUCAUAUUUCGAGUUGUGUCAAGGGAAGAAUGGAACCUUAUAAAGAAAUGAAGAGAUUGAUUAAAUAUUGUUCUUUAAAUAUUUUAUUCACAAUAGUCCUAUGGUAAUCGAUGGCUUUAAUAAUGGCGACCGGUCUUAUUCAUAUGACCCAAGAUGUGAACACAAUAGGUGGUUGAUGGCUUCAAGGAUUCACCUACACCCAAAUACCCGAGACAGGUCCGAAUACAGAAUUAUAAAUAAUGUCACGGGUCUGGGUCGAAUCUGAUUUUCACGAGUCUUUCACGAGUGUAAUUUUAACUGACUUGUCUGUAGGGCGGUACAGAUCCGAACGUGACUGCUGCAGUUGAGAGAGAUCGAGAAAUGUGAUCAUUUAUGCUGCUGCUCUUGCUUUUCAGGAGUGGAACAUGGCGCAUGUAGCUUGUUGUUGGUCAUAAGUCAUCAAAGCAGGAAUACCACAGUUUGAGUCAUUAAUACCCGUAAACCACGGAAAUGGUUCCAAUCAUUUUUCCACCAUUCAUUUUUCGGUAGGGGUCAAGGGAAGAUAAUUUAACGUUGGCGAUUAUCUUCUGACUACACGAACGAUGAGCUAACGUUUAACUAGCGAGCUAAACGUUAGAUAAAUAUACAUGCCCUGAUGGACUAACAUUGCCAAGUACGUCACCGCGUGGAAAAGUGACUAACUUACACGAACGACCGGAAACCCAGUGACAACACUCAGGUCUGUAGCUGCCAUUUUCCGGUGGGAAAGAGAAAUGGCCCUGUAUUUACCAGAAAAGGUAGCUCAUCCACCAUGGCAGAAGAGGAAGAUCCAGAUGGUUGAUUGGGAAACAAGAACAAACAAUGAGGCAUGAGGAUUGGUUGUUGAGGGACUGCUUGUCACAUUGUCCAAGUCCAACAGGAGUGCAUCUCUCAGACCAUCUGGGGCAUGGACAUCCUGUACCAGUCUGAUCCGAGCAGGAGUAUCCAUUUGUACAGCACAUCGAGCCUGUGGACGGACAGGUACUGGCAGGAGGAGCAAUGUGAGUGAGGUCGUCGUGCUGGAUGGUGAUGGAGGCUUUGGUGGUCCACACAACGAAGAAGCAGGUGUUCCUUCCUGUGAUGUGGAGCUGACCUUUGACCUGGUGCCAGUGAGGGAGGUCUUCCCUCCUUGAUUUAAAAAUCCUCAGACUUCACUGCCUCUUCAAUGGUAAGGUCCCUUGCACCAUAGGGACACUUGAUCUACACCACUGCUGUGGUACACCAGUAGGCGCCCAAGAGCCCCCGACCAAAGCCCAGACUCCUGCACAUCCAUCCCUGUAGUCAUUUUGAAUACCUUGAUGCCCUCCUCUUCAUUAUCUGCCCCACUUUAGAGACAGUACCCCAUCCAAUGACUGAUCUGAGAACCCUUUGUAGCAGCGAUGUAGUAACGCGCUUGGCCUAACCACUGUUCCAUAAUUGCUGGUUGUCAACUUCCCUCCUCAUGGUGUGUCAGUUGGGGUUGGUGCGCUAUCCAACUGUUGCCUGCCAUAUAGCCUCCUGCUGCUACAGUGACAGCGCCAUGCCAGCCAGGAUGCCUGCAUGCCCUAGUUUUUUUUGUUUUUUUUAAACAAUGUCCGGUAUGGACAGGGAUCACAGGGAGGGUAGCGGUUGUUCUGGCUCAGGUUCAAGGAGACAUGCUAUUCCACUGAACCUGCCACGAAGAUGGUUCCUUAGCCAUUGAAGAUCCUCCUCGGUGGGCUCUCGGGACAGAAGGUUGUAGUCUUCGACUGGGUACAGGUCCUCCACUGACUGUACAUGGUUGGGCACGGCUGUCUUCCUCCACUCGCAUUCCACGUCCGUACGGCCGAUAUUGUGAACUGCCAAAAUUGGCUGCAUCGCUACACUUACGAGCUCCACAGAGGCGUUUGCAUGUGGUAGAGAGAGUGCCCUGGUCACUUAUAGAGACCUGCCAAGAUGAAGGAUGUUAAGUGCCACACACCUUUCAAUACAUGACUUUAAACACCUUGAAAUGCAUUUGUUGUAAGAAAUGUGAUAUGUAAAUAGUUUGAUUUGAUUAAUGACAUUACAGCUGUAAAAUAUUUAAUAAACUGUAAUUGCAGUGCAGGUUUUCCAUAAACCUUUAAUUGAUAACUUGGGAUUUUAUCAUUUGACAUCAAUCAUAUAGUGGGAAGGAUCCUAUAAAUCUAGACUGUAUGAACGCAUGUACCACUGAAUAAAUAAAUACUGUGCUUUUGAA